CUGUGCUAAGUGGGGAGUUUGCGGUGCCCUGAACCUGCAAUCCGCAAUAGCAGGACCGAACGUCUUUCUCGACGAAAUAAGUGGAAAGCCGCGCUUUGUAAGGGGUGUUGAUACCAAGGUCU
Molecule: signal recognition particle RNA, 122 nt
Filed under: Clostridia bacterium
Lineage: Bacteria; Bacillati; Bacillota; Clostridia
Description: partial signal recognition particle sRNA large type
Rfam family: Bacterial large signal recognition particle RNA
About the family: The signal recognition particle (SRP) is a universally conserved ribonucleoprotein involved in the co-translational targeting of proteins to membranes. Archaeal SRP consists of a 7S RNA and homologues of the eukaryotic SRP19 and SRP54 proteins.
Source: RNAcentral